This 279-nucleotide long non-coding RNA is filed under the name Elaeis guineensis (African oil palm). Its description in RNAcentral is "long non-coding RNA (EGUI_LNC006247)". The record is from RNAcentral. Lineage: Eukaryota; Viridiplantae; Streptophyta; Magnoliopsida; Arecales; Arecaceae.
GGUGCCAAACAGGAGAUUUUCUGAUAAAAUAUUUGGGAAUACCAUUACAUUAUAGCACUCUCAAAUCUCAAGAAUGUAAUUUCUUGAUAGAAAAAGUCGAGAAGAAGCUUGCAGGAUCGAAGAGGAGAAUUUCAUUAAUUGCUGGGUGCCUGGUACUCAUUAAUUCUAUUCUCAGAUCUAUACCAAUAUACUGGAUGGUAGUCUUACAUAUUUUGGUGAACAUCAUACAAAAAUAGAUAGGUUAUGCAGAGCCUUCUUGUGGGAUGACAUGAAUACAGG